CCAAUAGCGUAUAUUAAGGUUGCUGCGGUUAAAAAGCUCGUAGUUGAAUUUCGGGAUUGAUGCAUCGGUCGUGCCUUAAGUGGUAUGAACUGGUGUGGUCAAUUUCUUACCUUCUGGUGAAUUGUGAUGUCCUCCUUAAUUGGGUGUUUCAAUGAACUAGGACUUUUUACUUUGAAAAAAUUAGAGAGUUUAAAGCAGGCAUUAUUUGCUUGAAUACAUUAGCAUGGAAUAAUAAAAUAGGACAAUGAUUCUAUUUUGUUGGUUUCUAGGAUCAUUGUAAUGAUUAAUAGGGAUAGUUGGGGGCAUUAGUAUUCAAUUGUCAGAGGUGAAAUUCUUGGAUUAAUUGAAGACUAACUACUGCGAAAGCAUUUGCCAAGGAUAUUUUCAUUAAUCAAGAACGAAAGUGAGGGGAUCGAAGACGAGUAGGUACGUCGUAGUCUUAACCAUAAACUAUGCCGACUAGGAAUCAGACAACGUUAAAUUUUUAAUGACUUGUUUGGCACCUUACG
RNAcentral lists this ribosomal RNA (509 nucleotides) under uncultured Glomeromycotina. Its description in RNAcentral is "partial small subunit ribosomal RNA". It matches the Rfam family "Eukaryotic small subunit ribosomal RNA", at positions 591 to 1092 of the family's 1831-position model. Lineage: Eukaryota; Fungi; Glomeromycota. The record is from RNAcentral.